AACGAACGCUGGCGGCAUGCCUAACACAUGCAAGUCGAACGAGACCUUCGGGUCUAGUGGCGCACGGGUGCGUAACGCGUGGGAACCUGCCCUUAGGUUCGGAAUAACUCCCCGAAAGGGGUGCUAAUACCGGAUAAUGUCUUCGGACCAAAGAUUUAUCGACUUUGGAUGGGCCCGCGUUGGAUUAGCUAGUUGGUAGGGUAAAAGCCUACCAAGGCGACGAUCCAUAGCUGGUCUGAGAGGAUGAUCAGCCACACUGGGACUGAGACACGGCCCAGAAUCCUACGGGAGGCAGCAGUGGGGAAUAUUGGACAAUGGGCGAAAGCCUGAUCCAGCAAUGCCGCGUGAGUGAUGAAGGCCUUAGGGUUGUAAAGCUCUUUUACCCGGGAUGAUAAUGACAGUACCGGGAGAAUAAGCACCGGCUAACUCCGUG
RNAcentral lists this ribosomal RNA (433 nucleotides) under uncultured bacterium. Its description in RNAcentral is "partial 16S ribosomal RNA". It matches the Rfam family "Bacterial small subunit ribosomal RNA", at positions 29 to 507 of the family's 1533-position model. The record is from RNAcentral.